This 236-nucleotide ribosomal RNA is filed under the name uncultured bacterium. Its description in RNAcentral is "partial 16S ribosomal RNA". It matches the Rfam family "Bacterial small subunit ribosomal RNA", at positions 333 to 585 of the family's 1533-position model. The record is from RNAcentral.
UACGACCUACGGGACGCAGCAGUGGGGAAUAUUGCGCAAUGGGCGAAAGCCUGACGCAGCGACGCCGCGUGUGGGAAGACGGUCCUCUGGAUUGUAAACCACUGUCCCCAGGGACGAAGAUGACGGUACCUGGGGAGGAAGCUCCGGCUAACUACGUGCCAGCAGCCGCGGUAAUACGUAGGGAGCAAGCGUUGUCCGGAUUUAUUGGGUUUAAAGGGAGCGUAGAUGGGUUGUUA